Molecule: ribosomal RNA, 479 nt
Filed under: uncultured bacterium
Lineage: Bacteria
Description: partial 16S ribosomal RNA
Rfam family: Bacterial small subunit ribosomal RNA
Source: RNAcentral
GAUGAACGCUAGCGGGAGGCCUAACACAUGCAAGCCGAGCGGUAUUGUUUCUUCGGAAAUGAGAGAGCGGCGUACGGGUGCGUAACACGUGUGCAACCUGCCUUUAUCUGGGGGUUAGCCUUUCGAAAGGAAGAUUAAUACUCCAUAAUAUAUUGAACGGCAUCGUUUAAUAUUGAAAGCUCCGGCGGAUAGAGAUGGGCACGCGCAAGAUUAGCUAGUUGGUGAGGUAACGGCUCACCAAGGCGAUGAUCUUUAGGGGGCCUGAGAGGGUGAUCCCCCACACUGGUACUGAGACACGGACCAGACUCCUACGGGAGGCAGCAGUGAGGAAUAUUGGUCAAUGGGUGCAAGCCUGAACCAGCCAUCCCGCGUGAAGGACGACUGCCCUAUGGGUUGUAAACUUCUUUUGUAUAGGGAUAAACCUACCCUCGUGAGGGUAGCUGAAGGUACUAUACGAAUAAGCACCGGCUAACUCCGUG